AGUGAACGUUAGCGGCGGGCCUAACACAUGCAAGUCGAACGCGAAAGGUCUUCGGACUGAGUAGAGUGGCGCACGGGUGAGUAACACGUAGGUAAUCUACCCUUUGGCGGGGGAUAACGUUCCGAAAGGAGCGCUAAUACCGCAUAAGACCACGGAGUCUCCGGACGCUGUGGGAAAAGGUGGCCUCUUCUUGAAAGCUACCACCGAAGGAUGAGCCUGCGUCCCAUCAGCUAGUUGGUAAGGUAAUGGCUUACCAAGGCGAAGACGGGUAGCUGGUUUGAGAGAAUGAUCAGCCACACUGGCACUGGAACACGGGCCAGACUCCUACGGGAGGCAGCAGUGAGGAAUAUUGGGCAAUGGGCGAAAGCCUGACCCAGCCACGCCGCGUGAGUGAUGAAGGCCCCGUCGGGUACGU
This 415-nucleotide ribosomal RNA is filed under the name uncultured bacterium. Its description in RNAcentral is "bacterial SSU rRNA". It matches the Rfam family "Bacterial small subunit ribosomal RNA", at positions 29 to 426 of the family's 1533-position model. The record is from RNAcentral.